This 380-nucleotide ribosomal RNA is filed under the name uncultured bacterium. Its description in RNAcentral is "bacterial SSU rRNA". It matches the Rfam family "Bacterial small subunit ribosomal RNA", at positions 28 to 409 of the family's 1533-position model. The record is from RNAcentral.
GACGAACGCUGGCGGCGUGCUUAACACAUGCAAGUCGAGCGGUAAGGCCCUUUCGGGGGUACACGAGCGGCGAACGGGUGAGUAACACGUGGGUGACCUGCCCUCAGCUCUGGGAUAAGCCUGGGAAACCGGGUCUAAUACUGGAUAUGACUCCAUGACGCAUGUUGUGGGGUGGAAAGCCUUGUGCGGCUGAGGAUGGGCCCGCGGCCUAUCAGCUUGUUGGUGGGGUGANGGCCUACCAAGGCGACGACGGGUAGCCGGCCUGAGAGGGCGACCGGCCACACUAGGACUGAGACACGGCCCAGACUCCUACGGGAGGCAGCAGUGGGGAAUCUUGCGCAAUGGGCGAAAGCCUGACGCAGCGACGCCGCGUGAGGGAU